RNAcentral lists this ribosomal RNA (413 nucleotides) under Lachnoclostridium edouardi. Its description in RNAcentral is "bacterial SSU rRNA". It matches the Rfam family "Bacterial small subunit ribosomal RNA", at positions 1087 to 1501 of the family's 1533-position model. Lineage: Bacteria; Bacillati; Bacillota; Clostridia; Lachnospirales; Lachnospiraceae. The record is from RNAcentral.
CCGCAACGAGCGCAACCCUUAUCCUUAGUAGCCAGCAGUAAGAUGGGGACUCUAGGGAGACUGCCAGGGAUAACCUGGAGGAAGGUGGGGAUGACGUCAAAUCAUCAUGCCCCUUAUGAUUUGGGCUACACACGUGCUACAAUGGCGUAAACAAAGGGAAGCGAAGCCGCGAGGCGGAGCAAAUCCCAAAAAUAACGUCUCAGUUCGGAUUGCAGGCUGCAACUCGCCUGCAUGAAGCUGGAAUCGCUAGUAAUCGCGGAUCAGAAUGCCGCGGUGAAUACGUUCCCGGGUCUUGUACACACCGCCCGUCACACCAUGGGAGUCGAUAACGCCCGAAGUCAGUGACCCAACCGAAAGGAGGGAGCUGCCGAAGGCGGGAUUGAUAACUGGGGUGAAGUCGUAACAAGGUAACC